CUCAAGGGCAGAGCGGGUGUGAAAGCUGCACAGCGUUCGAGCUGCUGUCCGUGUCAGUAGGGAGCAGAGCGUGCACUCGGUGUAUGGAAACCCGAUUUGGCUCCCUGAGAAAAUACUAAGAUGCUGAGGUUUCAAUGAGAACUAUUAGGGUGCCACCAUCUUGGAAAUGUUUCGUGUGAGAGAGCAGAGAGAAAGAAGACUGAGGCUCCUGUGAAGCAACCACGAUGUCUAGAAUAGCUUCGGGUG
Molecule: long non-coding RNA, 246 nt
Organism: Grammomys surdaster
Lineage: Eukaryota; Metazoa; Chordata; Mammalia; Rodentia; Muridae
Exons: 3
Source: RefSeq, a predicted model, not a curated record